GUUGGGCAUGGUGGCACAUGCCUGUAAUCCCAGCAACUCAUGAGGCUGAGGCGGGAUGACCACAAGUUUGAGGUCAGCCUCAGCAAUUUAGUGAGACCCUGUCUCAA
This 107-nucleotide small RNA is filed under the name Marmota monax (woodchuck). Lineage: Eukaryota; Metazoa; Chordata; Mammalia; Rodentia; Sciuridae. The record is from RNAcentral.